This 225-nucleotide unclassified non-coding RNA is filed under the name Hevea brasiliensis (rubber tree). Lineage: Eukaryota; Viridiplantae; Streptophyta; Magnoliopsida; Malpighiales; Euphorbiaceae. The record is from RNAcentral.
AUUAAAGUUAUGCUAUGUCAAUAAUAACAUAUAAAAAUAAUAAUAUUUUUAUCAUAUCAAUAAUAAUAUAUAAAAAAAUAAUAUUUUUACAACAUCAAAUUUCACAUUAUUACUACCAAUUCCCCAUAUUUAGUGAGCACAAUACUAAACUUUCAAAUCUGCCAUUAUCUAAGUGCUCUUUUACGUGGCUCUCAUACCCAAUAACUCAACUCAACUAAAUUUUUA